Molecule: non-coding RNA, 108 nt
Organism: Acanthosepion pharaonis
Lineage: Eukaryota; Metazoa; Mollusca; Cephalopoda; Sepiida; Sepiidae
Source: the annotation of a GenBank genome assembly
AGCCAAAUCAUGUUGAAACACCAGUUCUUGUAUGAUCACUGAAGUUAAGCAACAUUAAGCCUGGUCAGUACCUAGAUAGAUGAUUGCUUAGGAAUACCAGGUGCUGCU